This 253-nucleotide ribosomal RNA is filed under the name uncultured bacterium. RNAcentral describes it as "partial 16S ribosomal RNA". It matches the Rfam family "Bacterial small subunit ribosomal RNA", at positions 524 to 776 of the family's 1533-position model. The record is from RNAcentral.
UACGUAGGGUCCGAGCGUUGUCCGGAGUUACUGGGCGUAAAGCGCGCGCAGGCGGCGGUGCUGGCCCGGCGUGAAAGCCCCCGGCUCAACCGGGGAGGGUCGUCGGGGACCGCACCGCUUGAGGGCGGUAGGGGCUGGUGGAAUGCCUGGUGUAGUGGUGAAAUGCGUAGAGAUCAGGCGGAACACCCGUGGCGAAGGCGGCCAGCUGGGCCGUCCCUGACGCUGAGGCGCGAAAGCCAGGGGAGCGAACGGG